This 936-nucleotide ribosomal RNA is filed under the name uncultured bacterium. RNAcentral describes it as "bacterial SSU rRNA". It matches the Rfam family "Bacterial small subunit ribosomal RNA", at positions 8 to 917 of the family's 1533-position model. The record is from RNAcentral.
AGAGUUUGAUCCUGGCUCAGAACGAACGUUGGCGGCGUGGAUUAGGCAUGCAAGUCGAACGCGAACGCUCCCUUCGGGGAGCUAGUAGAGUGGCGAACGGGUGAGUAACGCGUGGGGAACCUGCCUGGGAGUGGGGGAUAACCUUCCUAACGGAGGGCUAAUACCGCAUGUGGAGACGAGAUCGCAUGGUCCUGUCUUCAAAGAUGGCCUCUGCUCGCAAGCUGUCGCUACCAGAUGGUCCCGCGUCCUAUUAGCUUGUUGGUGGGGUAACGGCUCACCAAGGCUCCGAUGGGUAGCCGGCCUGAGAGGGUGUCCGGCCACACUGGGACUGAGAUACGGCCCAGACUCCUACGGGAGGCAGCAGUCGAGAGGCUUCGGCAAUGGGGGAAACCCUGACCGAGCGACGCCGCGUGGAGGAUGAAGGCUUUCGGGUCGUAAACUCCUGUCAGCAGGGAAGAAAGGCAGAGCGGUCAAUAUCCGCCUUGUUUGACGGUACCUGCAGAGGAAGCUCCGGCUAACUCCGUGCCAGCAGCCGCGGUAAUACGGGGGGAGCAAACGUUGUUCGGAUUCACUGGGCGUAAAGGGGAAGUAGGCGGCCACAUAAGUGGGGCGUGAAAUCCUUCGGCUCAACCGAAGACCUGCGCUCCAAACUGUGUGGCUUGAGUCCGGGAGGGGAGACGGGAAUUCCUGGUGUAGCGGUGAAAUGCGCAGAUAUCAGGAAGAACACCGGCGGCGAAGGCGCGUCUCUGGACCGGUACUGACGCUAAAUUCCGAAAGCGUGGGGAGCAAACAGGAUUAGAUACCCUGGUAGUCCACGCCGUAAACGAUGGGCACUAGGUGUGGGGAGUAUCGACCCUCUCCGUGCCGCAGCUAACGCAUUAAGUGCCCCGCCUGGGGAGUACGGCCGCAAGGCUGAAACUCAAAGGAAUUGACGGG